RNAcentral lists this transfer RNA (84 nucleotides) under Felis catus (domestic cat). It matches the Rfam family "tRNA". From Rfam's summary of the family: Transfer RNA (tRNA) molecules are approximately 80 nucleotides in length. Lineage: Eukaryota; Metazoa; Chordata; Mammalia; Carnivora; Felidae. RNAcentral also lists the same sequence under 2 other names. The record is from Rfam by way of RNAcentral.
GCCUAGGUGGCUUAAUCAGUUGAGCAUCCGACUUCAGCUCAAAUCAUGUUUCGAAGUUUGUGAGUUCGAGUCCCACAUUGGGCU